This 647-nucleotide long non-coding RNA is filed under the name Homo sapiens (human). RNAcentral's name for it is "VIPR1 antisense RNA 1". Lineage: Eukaryota; Metazoa; Chordata; Mammalia; Primates; Hominidae. The record is from RNAcentral.
AAGGACUGUGCUCCCAAUCCGCUUACGCUCAAGGAAGAACUGCCUGGAAGCCCUCCCUGGUACCAUACCCCAGCCGAUGAGUAUGUACCCCCAGAAGUACUUCCGCUCAGAGAAGAAGGAGACGGCAAGCAGGGUGUACAGGAAGGCCCAGAACCAGCCUGCUGUCAGGAUCAGAACAAAAGAGGAGGACUGCAUAUGUAUGGACCCACUCCAGAUGGCACGGGGACGGGGGGAGUAGGAAAAGUGGCAUGAGACCAGGCCCACAGAGUAUGGCUGUGCAAGUUGUUCACUCUACAAGGGCACCUGGCCGGGAGUCCCUCGGAUUGCUCCAGCCUCUUUGACCACUUUCCUUUGCCUUUCCACUUCCUUGAGAGAUGAGGAAAUGGAGGCACAGACUGAUUAGAAAACCAGCUCAAGGUCAUGUUGCUGCUCUCUCAUUCCUGUUGAGGGCUCUCUGGUGGAGCCUCUGUCUCACAGGUCACCUGCAGGCCAACACUCCCAGAAGCAGCUAGCACCAUGGUUGACCUCGUCCAGGUCCAGGGAAGGCCUCCCUCUCCAGGACUCCUUUAGAUUUCCCCAGCAUCCAGACCUCACCUGCCUAAGUGCUGUUGCCCUGGAAGCCACAGUGAGCACGAGCUCCAUCUUGC